UAACUUUUGUUUUAAAGUGAAGUCGUCAUGCAGCGAGAGGCUCAGGAAUUGUACAAGAGAGGAGAUGUAACUUUAACUUUCCAUAACCAUCAUGAGUCUG
This is a long non-coding RNA of Sebastes umbrosus (honeycomb rockfish), 100 nucleotides long. RefSeq lists it as uncharacterized. The record is from RefSeq and is a predicted model, not a curated record. NCBI's taxonomy places the organism in Eukaryota, Metazoa, Chordata, Actinopteri, Perciformes, Sebastidae. The transcript is spliced from 3 exons.